UAGGGAAUCUUCCACAAUGGACGCAAGUCUGAUGGAGCAACGCCGCGUGAGUGAAGAAGGUUUUCGGACCGUAAAGCUCUGUUGUUGGUGAAGAAGGAUAGAGGUAGUAACUGGCCUUUAUUUGACGGUAAUCAACCAGAAAGUCACGGCUAACUACGUGCCAGCAGCCGCGGUAAAUACGUAGGUGGCAAGCGUUGUCCGGAUUUAUUGGGCGUAAAAGCGAGCGCAGGCGGAAGAAUAAGUC
This 244-nucleotide ribosomal RNA is filed under the name uncultured bacterium. Its description in RNAcentral is "partial 16S ribosomal RNA". It matches the Rfam family "Bacterial small subunit ribosomal RNA", at positions 355 to 589 of the family's 1533-position model. The record is from RNAcentral.